UAGGGAAUCUUCCACAAUGGGCGAAAGCCUGAUAGAGCAACGCCGCGUGUGUGAUGAAGGGUUUCGGCUCGUAAAACACUGUUGUAAGAGAAGAAUGACAUUGAGAGUAACUGUUCAAUGUGUGACGGUAUCUUACCAGAAAGGAACGGCUAAAUACGUGCCAC
This 164-nucleotide ribosomal RNA is filed under the name uncultured bacterium. RNAcentral describes it as "partial 16S rRNA". It matches the Rfam family "Bacterial small subunit ribosomal RNA", at positions 355 to 511 of the family's 1533-position model. The record is from RNAcentral.